RNAcentral lists this unclassified non-coding RNA (944 nucleotides) under Homalodisca vitripennis (glassy-winged sharpshooter). Its description in RNAcentral is "lysosomal acid phosphatase-like, transcript variant X4". Lineage: Eukaryota; Metazoa; Arthropoda; Insecta; Hemiptera; Cicadellidae. The record is from RNAcentral.
UAAAAUACUGUCUGUCAUGGGUUAUGCUACAUAAAUACUCAAACUUUUUUUCUGUGAAGACUCUCCACUAGUUUGAGUACAUAUAAGUUAGAAAUGUAUGCAAUGUUACUAACAGUAUUUAUUGGGCUGGUAACUGCGACUGUAACAGUGGAUUAUACAGGCAAACUAUCUUAUCUCGUGAAUUCGACGCUUCCUCCGACAAAAAACCUUCAGUAUGUAUAUGCGCUCUUUAGGCAUGGAAUACGAUAUUCUGUGAAUCUGCCAUAUCCAAAUGACCCUAACACGCCUUGGUAUCCAAUAGUUUUCCCGGGAACCCCUGGAAAACUUACAGAGGUUGGUCAGCGAGACAUGUUUAAUGUUGGACAAAACUUAAAGAGAAGAUAUGGAGACUGUUGGAGGUUACACUCAGGAGAAGGUGCACGUGUCUGCAACUAAUUUUACUACAAGAACAACAGUGACGGCUCUUUGUGUUAUGGCUGGCCUAUUUUCUCCUUCCAAGCAAAUAUUCAAGGAUUUACCGAACUGGCAGCCCAUUCCUGUCUGGCAAAAUACAUCAGAUUUUGACAAAGCUUAUCUAGCCAGACGUGCCCAAGAUUUGGAAAAGUAUUAUGGAAAGCAAAGGAGAUGAUAAGAAAACCUGAUCCAAUAAAAGAUCGUCAAGUGAUUUAUAAACUACUUCAGAGCUUUACUGGAGACCCAAAUGCAGACAAUGAAGAAUGUGCUUCUAACAUUUUUGACACUUUACAUUUUCAAGAUUUAAAUGGAUUACCAGUACCAACAUGGGCAACUCAACCUCAGCCACAAUGUAAAAAUAUAUCUCUCUAUCCAGACCUGCUAGGAGCUAUUUGUUUAGAAUCUUUUUACGACACGAUAUAUCCAAAAAAUGAAAAAUAUGUUCUCCAAUUUUAUGCAGGGCCAAUUGUGAACAGUGUACAAGAACAGCU